CCUACGGGUGGCAGCAGUGGGGAAUAUUGCACAAUGGGGGAAACCCUGAUGCAGCGACGCCGCGUGAGUGAAGAAGUAAUUCGUUAUGUAAAGCUCUAUCAGCAGGGAAGAAAAUGACGGUACCUGAGUAAGAAGCCCCGGCUAACUACGUGCCAGCAGCCGCGGUAAUACGUAGGGGGCAAACGUUAUCCGGAUUUACUGGGUGUAAAGGGUGGGUGGAGGGAGGUGAAAGUUUGAGGUGAAAGGCGGGGGCUAAACCCCCAGACUACUUGGGAAACUGUAUGGCUGGAGUGCAGGAGAGGUAAGUGGAAUUCCUAGUGUAGCGGUGAAAUGCGUAGAUAUUAGGAGGAACACCAGUGGCGUAGGCAGCUUACUGGAACGUAACUGACGUUGAGGCACGAAAGCGUGGGGAGCAAACAGGAUUAGAUACCCUAGUAGUC
This 440-nucleotide ribosomal RNA is filed under the name uncultured bacterium. RNAcentral's name for it is "partial 16S ribosomal RNA". It matches the Rfam family "Bacterial small subunit ribosomal RNA", at positions 338 to 795 of the family's 1533-position model. The record is from RNAcentral.